GAGAGACGGAGGGAGUCCUAUCCGUAAGACUCAGUAUUCCGACUCAUCCAACGCGUGCAGGCGAUCGCCCAACCCUCGCAAACGCCGUCACAACCCUAACGUGAAGUUUCGAUCGUAAUUGUGCCGGCUGCUACGCCCCCACCGGAGAAGAGAGCGCCGACACCGAGAUGGGCCGCGUCCGGACGGAGACGGUGGAGAAGUCCUCCCGCCAGUUGAUCGAGCGGCACUACUCGCUCAUCGCCAUCGACUUCCACACCAACUAGAAGAUCCUCGAGGAGAUCCCUUCAUCCCGUCGAAGCGAUGCCGCAACAAGAUCGCCGGGUUCAGCGCCCGCCUCACGCGCCGGAUUCAGCGUGGCCCUGUCCGCGGCAUCUCCCUCAAGCUCCAGCAGGAGGAGCGCGAGCGCCGGAUUGACUUCAACCCCGACGAGUCCGCCAUCAGGGUCGAAUAAAUCGAGGUCGACAAGGAGACCUUCGACAUGCUCGCCCCCCUCGUCAAGGUCGACCUCCCCGACGUCGAGAAGCAGGCCAACGCCCUCGCCCUGGCGGUGGCUAUGGUCGCAGGUUCCGAGAUUGCUGUGUCUCUAUUGACUUAUAGGUAUAGCAAAUCAUGAUCAAUACUUUGUCGUGAGGUGUGGAGAGGAGGAGAGCUUGUUUUACGGUUUUUAAGAGGAUCUUCUUGGUGAAACAAUGGUCAAGGUAUCUGAAGCUUGUCUUCAUCGAAAGACACCCUUGUUCAUUAGAAAUGUUGAAGUUUGUGAUGAACGAUAGAACUUAAGAAAACAAGUUUGUAAAUACCUGUGGUUAUUCCAUGCUUUGAUACUUCUGUUAAUCAAAAUCAUUCAAGGAACUGCCCUGUUUUAUUUUGGUUAUUAUUGAACGAGAAAAGCCACAAUAUACUUUUGUUA
This is a long non-coding RNA of Musa acuminata AAA Group (dessert banana), 907 nucleotides long. RefSeq lists it as uncharacterized. The record is from RefSeq and is a predicted model, not a curated record. NCBI's taxonomy places the organism in Eukaryota, Viridiplantae, Streptophyta, Magnoliopsida, Zingiberales, Musaceae. The transcript is spliced from 3 exons.